AAAGAUAAUGGUACUCAAAUAUUUUUUUUAUAGUACUCUGAUUUUCAGUUAAUGCAUGUCAAAUUAUUGCAAGAAUAUGAAUCAUAUAACUCAAGGCAAUAAUGUCAGAACAGGAUUAAUUAGCAUAGAUCAGAGCCAAUUAAGAUGAUUUCAGAGCAAAUUAUGAUGAGAGCACAUCGAAAGUGAUUCCAAGGAUAGUUUUCAAAUCAAGUGUAGGUGGAAUCUUUUUCAAGUUAGUUCAAGGAGUAUCAAGACUGAUAUUCAAAGAAGGCACGAAUGAAAAUCUAACCUCUCUUCAAUAAUAAGUAUGAAAGCUUGUUCAUUUAAGAUCUUUUGCCCAAUAUAUAAAGCUUGUUUAUCAACAUGAGAGCAAUUUAAUUAAUUUUCAGAGUAUAAGAUCAAAACUUAUAUACUUGAAAAA
RNAcentral lists this long non-coding RNA (421 nucleotides) under Phoenix dactylifera (date palm). RNAcentral's name for it is "long non-coding RNA (PDAC_LNC007881)". Lineage: Eukaryota; Viridiplantae; Streptophyta; Magnoliopsida; Arecales; Arecaceae. The record is from RNAcentral.